AGAAAAAGCCCACCUACUCUGCUGUUUCCAUCGCCGGCUCCACCCCCUGCAUCCACCCGCCGUCGGCGCCGCUCCUUGCUCCCACGCACCGCUGGCCCCUGCCUCCUUGCUUCCACGCGCCGCCGGCUCCGCCCCCUGUUUCCACCCGCCGCCGGCAGCCGGCCCCUGCUCCCACGCGCCGUCGGCCCCUGCCUCCCUGCUUCCACGCGCCGUCGGCCCCUGCCUCCCUGCUUCCACGCGCCGUCGGCUGCGCCCCCUGCUUCCACCCGCCGCCGCCGCCGCCCCUCUGCUUCCACUGCGCCACCGGCCUGCCUCCCCAUUGCUUCCACCGGAGCGCCGCCCCCUGCUUCCACCGCGUCGCUGGCCCACCUCUCUGCUGCUUCCACCGCGUCGCCGCCCCGCACACUGGUUGCCAGUAGCGUGGCCGCCCCUUGCCCAACCUCCUAGCCGUCGGUGCCAUGGCCGCGCCACCGCUUCGCAAGCCUCCGUUCAACGACAUAACACCAAGCCGUUCGAUGUCGCGGCUCGGGAGAAUUCUCAAGCCACAGAAGGUCCCAGGACAUUCACUGUCGGCACCAUAGUCCGUUCACCGACGCAAAGAUGAGGUCUAGCCAUCAUCACCCACGACCGUGCACUCGCAUCUCUCCAGCUUCAAGUACUGUCCUCCUCUAGCUGCAGGUCGCGUUCUCCUCCAGCCGCAGACCAAUGCUAUGAUGAACAUUCAAGGCAGCAAGCACACCACAGGUCGCAGCGCCGCCGUUGAUCACAUGUGCACAUCCGUGCGAUUGAUGUGUGUGUGCUUUAGUCCAACUGCUGUAUCCGGCUGGGCUGCUCAUGUGACGAGCUCCUCUUCCAGGUCCGGCAGCCCCCUGUACUUCCUCAAUCUUUCAAAGUUUGAUCCUUUUUUUGCAGCAUGCUGAAAAACAGGAUCCAACAUUUAUGAAAAAGAGAUGAAUUUAGAGGAAGAUGCAGCACUGGAACGCAGAAGACUCAGUUCACAAAAAAAAUGAAAAAAUGGCAGGAACAGGCAGCAGUUUUCAAAAAUGAAGAUGGAGAUGUGAGCAUGUAUACAUAUGUUCUGGAGACACUAGACUUAUCUGGUGGUGUGUGCGUGCUGCUGUAUCCUCUUCCGGCCACUCUAAUCUACACCCUCAGUACAAGCCGAUGCAUCGCCAAGGUACACUGGAAUGAAUAUGUGUUUCUUCUGUGGUGAUGAUUUUGGGAGUAAAAUGGGAAAUUUAACAAAAGAAAUAUAAGAGCGCUUAGAUCACUAAAGUAGUGAUCUAAAAUGCUCUUAUAUUUGUUUACAGAGGGAGUACUCAAGUCCAUCUUGCAAACGAGUAGCAUUUCAAUAGUGCAAACAUGCAUCAAAUUAAAAAAAACGAUCCUGACUUGAAGCAAAUUCAUAUCUAAGUGUUUAUUUCAUAGCUCAUCGAUACUCAUAUAAGCCCGUGCAUAUCUGGGUGUUUAUUACUUCCAACUCUGAAGCUUGACAUGCAUAUUUGGGGAUGGUUUCAAGUACUAGUUUGGAACUAUAUCUAACCGAUACUAUAAAAUUUUUUAGCAGUUCGACAGGGGUGCGGGGUUCAGUUCGACGAUGACAAGCUAGGCAGCCGGCCUUUGCAUCGUGAACUGGCACAGUUUGAUCUUGUAAGAAAUGGAAAUUCCCUGAUGUUGAGUGUGUCAGUACAUUUGCUUGGCUGCUUUGCUACUCUAGUUAGUAACAUAUCGCUUGCUAAAUCAAAAAUAUUUUGUUGUUCACUUUCCUGUGUUUUGUUGGAUAAUUCUCAGGCUUUCUUUCUCUGAGAGGUACAAAAAUCAUAGUGCUUAAUAUACUGAUGUGUGUGUUAUACUUGAAUUAAAUAAAGUUAGAGGAGAAAGUGCCCCUAUUCCAUUACUUUGAGAAGUACAAGUACACCUUUCUGAUAGUACAGUGCAGGCCUGGUGCUGGCCCUGCACAAAUGGCGUCUUUAGCUCACCACGCUACCUCCCUCCCGCCGGUGGCUCUUCGUCCCUAUUCAAAUUUUUCCAGUGCGUCUUUAUAUUUUGUUCAGAUCAACUACUUGCUGGUCAUAAGUCCAAUUUCAUCUGUGUUUCCAUGUUCUUCCUAUAGCAUAAGUUGAUUGGCAUUACUGUGACACUGAUCAAGCCAACUGCGUGUAUUUAGUGAUUAAGGUCAUUUGGAAAAAACUUUUACACUUGUUGUGAUGCCUUACAAUUAAGACAUUUUUUAUAUAAACAUUGUUGCAACAUGAAUGUCAAGGAAAAGCAUGUGAAAAUGCCCUCUAUAGGAGAAAGGCUUCUGCAAAAAAUACUGUUGCAACAUUUUAGGCAUGCGAUUACAAUUUUUUUGGCAAUUUAUUCUAAUUGGUGCGUUCAGAUUAGUAAUAUAUAGAGAAAUUGUUUUGGUAGUACCACCAAUCCACCGUUUGUCUAAUUAAACAGAAAUACACAACGGAAAGCAAAAUGUUUUAACUAGUUCAACCCUGUAGGUAAUUACAUUGUAUAGAGGUUGCACCAAUUACACUCUAUAGAGGCUACAUCAGUUCAGUAUGAAAAAGGAACACAAUAAGUUAACUUUGCAAGUACAUCAGUUCACCUUGAUUAAAAUACAGAAGUGCACCGGCAAGAUUUCGAUCAGUUCGCUUAUAAAAAAAUAGAAAGUUGGUAGUGUAAAGAAACCGGAGAACCAAUGUCAGCCUAGGUAACUCCACACAAGUGCACCCGUUAGAAACAAAAGGUUCUGCAUGUCACUGUCAUACCCUGCAUAAUGGAAAUGGAUGCAGAAUAGGAGUGAAACAGGGAAGGGGAAUUGUUGCAGGGGCAAGUGUUGUGGGCAUUAGCUGCUAUGGUGCAUCUUAUCCAGUUAUUGCUUGGUCUACAUGCGGCCAUUGCGAGGUUCAGCUUGGUUGACAAAAGUAAAACCAAAUUUGGGUGUGUGUGUGUGAGUGUGUGUGUGUGUGUGCAAGUGCAACCGUGACUUGCAUAUGGUGUACAAACAAAGUUAUUUUGGUUUUCAGACCCAGAAAAAGUUCAAAAAGAGUAUAUAGCCUGGGAAGUGGGAAGUACAAGAGGCAAAAGUUACCGAGUUCAACAAAAACAAAAAAUUUUCAGAAGUACAAGGGAAAAGAUGGAGAGGUUGGACUACUCACGACUGUUGUUGUGGAGCCGUGGCGCGUCGACGAGCUCCUGCAGAGCCACGAGCUGCGGAACCGAUGAGCCGGCUGCCUGUCAUAGUUCCACAAAGGUUAAAAAUAGUUGCUAAUUAAUUCCACAAAGGAUUUUGUAUGAUCCAUAGCCAUCAGGCGAGCAGUUUAAGGCCUACUGCGUGAACCGUCCAUCGUCUUAUAUGCAUGAGCUUGUUGUCUCGAUGCAUCUAGCAUCGGAGUAUCUCCUCCCCCUUGCCGCACACACAUGUUGGGCAGUCGAGCUAGUGUUGUUUGUGAUUGCUGUCAUUGGACAAAGGAUUUGUUCUGUAACUCUGUACUGACGGGACCUUCAACAUAUAUGGGGUUUAGAAUUUGUUUGUAACUCUGUACUAUUGGGACCUUCAGCAUAUAUGGUGUUUUCAGUAUUCUGAUCUGUAGGCCAAAAAUGGUGAACAUUUAAA
Molecule: long non-coding RNA, 3610 nt
Organism: Triticum dicoccoides
Lineage: Eukaryota; Viridiplantae; Streptophyta; Magnoliopsida; Poales; Poaceae
Exons: 5
Source: RefSeq, a predicted model, not a curated record